RNAcentral lists this ribosomal RNA (445 nucleotides) under uncultured bacterium. RNAcentral's name for it is "bacterial SSU rRNA". It matches the Rfam family "Bacterial small subunit ribosomal RNA", at positions 330 to 792 of the family's 1533-position model. The record is from RNAcentral.
ACCAGACUCCUACGGGAGGCAGCAGUGGGGAAUAUUGCACAAUGGGGGAAACCCUGAUGCAGCGACGCCGCGUGAGUGAAGAAGUAUUUCGGUAUGUAAAGCUCUAUCAGCAGGGAAGAAGAUGACGGUACCUGACUAAGAAGCCCCGGCUAACUACGUGCCAGCAGCCGCGGUAAUACGUAGGGGGCAAGCGUUAUCCGGAUUUACUGGGUGUAAAGGGAGCGUAGACGGCGAUGCAAGCCAGAUGUGAAAGCCCGGGGCCCAACCCCGGGACUGCUCUUGGAACUGCGCGGCUGGAGUGCAGGAGGGGCAGGCGGAAUUCCUGGUGUAGCGGUGAAAUGCGUAGAUAUCAGGAGGAACACCGGUGGCGAAGGCGGCCUGCUGGGCUUUUACUGACGCUGAGGCUCGAAAGUGUGGGGAGCAAACAGGAUUAGAUACCCGAGUA